GGCUGAGAGUAAGAUCAAACAGAAAAAUUUGUUUUUGUUUUAUUUCAAAUAGAAAAAAAUUGCUUCCAUUCAAUGUGACACUUCCUCAUCAGGUUCAUCAAGUUCUAAUGCCGGUGUGAGCUUGCUAGCAUUGACAAUUCAGGUGUAUCAGAUUUGUACUCCAAAAGUUCAACGGAUACUGAAUCCUACUUAUCAUCUGACAUUGAGUCAGACUAAAAC
Molecule: non-coding RNA, 219 nt
Organism: Paramuricea clavata
Lineage: Eukaryota; Metazoa; Cnidaria; Anthozoa; Malacalcyonacea; Plexauridae
Source: the annotation of a GenBank genome assembly